CGAACGGUAACCAGGAUGUGCUUGCCCAUCGCUGACGAGUGGCGGACGGGUGAGUAAUGCUUCAGGGAUCUGCCUCUGUGUGGGGGAUAACUAUCUGGAAACGAUAGCUAAUACCGCACUAAUGUUUACGUGACCAAAGGGGGCGUCUUGCUCCCGCGCAGAGAGGAACCUAAGUGAGAUUAGCUAGUUGGUAAGGUAAUGGCUUACCAAGGACGACGAUCUCUAGCUGUUCUGAGAGGAAGAUCAGCCACACUGGGACUGAGACACGGCCCAGACUCCUACGGGAGGCAGCAGUGGGGAAUAUUGCAACAAUGGGGGGAACCCUGAUGCAGCCAUGCCGCGUGUGUGAAGAAGGCCGUCGGGUUGUAAAGCACUUUCAGUUGUGAGGAAACGGUUAGUAGUUAAUACCUGCUACCUGUGACGUUAGCAACAGAAGAAGCACCGGCUAACUCCGUGCCAGCAGCCGCGGUAAUACAGGAGGGUGCGAGCGUUAAUCGGAAUUACUGG
This 507-nucleotide ribosomal RNA is filed under the name uncultured Gammaproteobacteria bacterium. RNAcentral describes it as "bacterial SSU rRNA". It matches the Rfam family "Bacterial small subunit ribosomal RNA", at positions 63 to 557 of the family's 1533-position model. The record is from RNAcentral. Lineage: Bacteria; Pseudomonadati; Pseudomonadota; Gammaproteobacteria.